CAGUGGUACAUUCCUCUUUAAAACCAAACUUUGAGAGAAUUGCUCUAAUCUUGGCCAAGAGGGCUUUUCACAAAAAGCCUGAGUGUAGUGAAUGACGCUUCAGUUUUUCGCGCUCUGCUUUGUCGAGCCGACAUGGCUCGUGUCCUAACUUAUUAACCCGGAAUUAACUGCACCUGUGGGGUUUCCUUGGUGACGGUCAAGUGAACCUAUUUUAAAAGGAAUAUUGUAGUCCAUCUUUCCUCUAUCGUCGUUAAAAGACGUCGCUUAUUUUAACGGCAAAGGAACAGUAGGCAUUCCCAGAGGAUGAAUCCAAAUUACUUUGGUGGCAUUUCCUUCUGCAACAAUAUGAGGUAACAAGGGCCAGCUACAGUGGAGAGGAGAUGAGAGCAGAGCAGAGGAGAGGAGCCAAUCAAUGAGCAGGGUUUGGCCCGUGGACUAAUGCUAAGUGGCUGGGAGGCUUUUUCUGACAUGAAGGGGAAACAUGGCAACCCGGGGGGCUGCAGGGAUGAUGCUUAUGUCAGCUGAAAGCUUUGCAUUGGUCGACGUAUUAAAAUGAAGCAAAGUGGAAUGUGAAGCAUGCAUGACCUUUUCAUGUCUGCUCUCCCAGUCAGUACUCAACGCAAAAAUGAAUAAAUGAAUAAACUCAUCCAUAAAAACACAAAUAUGAUGAAAAGUUGGUACUUUGGGAAGCAUUCCUGCUCAUUCUCUCACUCCACUGUCUUUAGAAGUGAAUUGUAUCACUUUCAGUAG
Cheilinus undulatus (humphead wrasse) is the source of this 750-nucleotide long non-coding RNA. RefSeq lists it as uncharacterized. Lineage: Eukaryota; Metazoa; Chordata; Actinopteri; Labriformes; Labridae. The transcript is spliced from 4 exons. The record is from RefSeq and is a predicted model, not a curated record.